UACGGGGGGGGUAAGCGUUGUUCGGAAUUACUGGGCGUAAAGGGCUCGUAGGCGGCCAACUAAGUCAGACGUGAAAUCCCUCAGCUUAACUGGGGAACUGCGUCUGAUACUGGAUGGCUUGGAUUUGGGAGAGGGAUGCGGAAUUCCAGGUGUAGCGGUGAAAUGCGUAGAGAUGUGGAGGAACACCAGUGGCGAAGGCGACUUUCUGGCCUAUAACUGACGCUGAGGCGCGAAAGCGUGGGGAGCAAACAGG
This 253-nucleotide ribosomal RNA is filed under the name uncultured bacterium. RNAcentral describes it as "partial 16S ribosomal RNA". It matches the Rfam family "Bacterial small subunit ribosomal RNA", at positions 524 to 776 of the family's 1533-position model. The record is from RNAcentral.